This is a long non-coding RNA of Raphanus sativus (radish), 737 nucleotides long. RefSeq lists it as uncharacterized. Lineage: Eukaryota; Viridiplantae; Streptophyta; Magnoliopsida; Brassicales; Brassicaceae. The transcript has 2 exons. The record is from RefSeq and is a predicted model, not a curated record.
AAUAUUUAAAAAUUUGCGCGUAGAGAGAGAAAGAGCUAAAAAGGGUGAGAGAGUAUCUGUAAAGGGAUGUGGAUGAGAGGCCUUUUCUUAUGUUUGUUUAUAUAUAUAAAUCGCAUUCCCCCCUUCUCCUUCUUCUUCCUUUCUCCUUCCUUCUCGUAGUUUCAAAACAUUGUUAUUUCCAGUUAUGCCCUUUUCUUGUUACGGGAUUGGUUAACCUAACUAGGCUAAUCUAUUCAUUUUCUUAUGCAUUGGUCACUCGUUAUGUAAGCACGCAAGACUGUUUUACUUGCUUCCGUGGAAAUUUCAACUGGAUUUGAUUUCCUCCCCUAUUAUUUUGAGGAUUGCUAAUCACACUAACCAAUCAUCGUAUUGUUGUGGCUAGAGAGAAAGAGACAUAUAUCAGAUUGUAUUUAACAGAGAAAUGUCAACUUUGGCACCGACGUUUUAGGAGUAAUAAUAGUUGAGUGAGAGCGCGCACAACAACAAGGUUGUCUUUGGGAUACCAGUCUCUUGAAGUACCUCCAGGGUUGCGAAUGCGCAUGCGACUCCUUGAUUGGGUCGCAUACCGUAUAGAGUAAUGCGUUUCGUCGAGGGAGAAUGUAAUGUUGAAUAUACAUUUGUGGACAUACUCUGUCAAGCCACAUAGUUUGCUUUCUGAUUUUGAAUAUGAAAAUGUCAGUAAUUCACGAUUUAUGUAGGAAAUUUAUGAUGUAUAAUAAGUCUACUAUCACGUUGUC